This 460-nucleotide ribosomal RNA is filed under the name uncultured bacterium. RNAcentral's name for it is "partial 16S ribosomal RNA". It matches the Rfam family "Bacterial small subunit ribosomal RNA", at positions 338 to 795 of the family's 1533-position model. The record is from RNAcentral.
CCUACGGGGGGCAGCAGGGAGGAAUAUUGGUCAAUGGACGAGAGUCUGAACCAGCCAAGUAGCGUGAAGGAUGACUGCCCUAUGGGUUGUAAACUUCUUUUAUAUGGGAAUAAAACGUUCCACGUGUGGGAUUUUGUAUGUACCAUAUGAAUAAGGAUCGGCUAACUCCGUGCCAGCAGCCGCGGUAAUACGGAGGAUCCGAGCGUUAUCCGGAUUUAUUGGGGUUAAAGGGAGCGUAGGUGGAUUGUUAAGUCAGUUGUGAAAGUUUGCGGCUCAACCGUAAAAUUGCAGUUGAAACUGGCAGUCUUGAGUACAGUAGAGGUGGGCGGAAUGCGUGGUGUAGCGGUGAAAUGCUUAGAUAUCACGAAGAACUCCGAUUGCGAAGGCAGUUCACUGGACUGCAACUGACACUGAGGCUCGAAAGUGUGGGUAUCAAACAGGAUUAGAUACCCGUGUAGUC